UACGUAAGUGGCAAGCGUUGUCCGGAUUUACUGGGUGUAAAGGGCGUGCAGCCGGAGAGACAAGUCAGAUGUGAAAUCCACGGGCUCAACCCGUGAACUGCAUUUGAAACUGUUUCCCUUGAGUGUCGGAGAGGUAAUCGGAAUUCCUUGUGUAGCGGUGAAAUGCGUAGAUAUAAGGAAGAACACCAGUGGCGAAGGCGGAUUACUGGACGAUAACUGACGGUGAGGCGCGAAAGCGUGGGGAGCAAACAGG
This 253-nucleotide ribosomal RNA is filed under the name uncultured bacterium. RNAcentral's name for it is "partial 16S ribosomal RNA". It matches the Rfam family "Bacterial small subunit ribosomal RNA", at positions 524 to 776 of the family's 1533-position model. The record is from RNAcentral.